CAGGCUUAACACAUGCAAGUCGAACGGUAACAGGAAAGCUUGCUUUCGCUGACGACCGGCGCACGGGUGCGUAAGCGUAUGCAACUUGCCCUCAACUGGGAAUAGCCCGGAGAAAUUCGGAUUAAUGUCCCAUAGUAUCACAUCACCGCAUGAUGAUGUGCUUAAAGCUUCGGCGGUUGAGGAUGGGCAUGCGUCCUAUUAGCUUGUUGGUGAGGUAACGGCUCACCAAGGCUGCGAUAGGUAGGGGCCUGAGAGGGUAAUCCCCCACACUGGUACUGAGACACGGACCAGACUCCUACGGGAGGCAGCAGUGAGGAAUAUUGGUCAAUGGACGAAAGUCUGAACCAGCCAUGCCGCGUGCAGGAUGACGGCCCUACGGGUUGUAAACUGCUUUUAUAAGGGAAUAAACCCCCCGACGUGUCGGGGGCUGAAGGUACCUUACGAAUAAGGAUCGGCUAACUCCGUG
This 466-nucleotide ribosomal RNA is filed under the name uncultured bacterium. RNAcentral's name for it is "bacterial SSU rRNA". It matches the Rfam family "Bacterial small subunit ribosomal RNA", at positions 43 to 507 of the family's 1533-position model. The record is from RNAcentral.